GGUACCUUAGCUCAGUUGGUAGAGCAAUGGACUGAAAAUCCAUGUGUCCCCAGUUCAAAUCUGGGAGGUACCA
This 73-nucleotide transfer RNA is filed under the name Saprospiraceae bacterium. RNAcentral's name for it is "tRNA-Phe". It matches the Rfam family "tRNA". Rfam says of the family: Transfer RNA (tRNA) molecules are approximately 80 nucleotides in length. Their secondary structure includes four short double-helical elements and three loops (D, anti-codon, and T loops). The record is from RNAcentral. Lineage: Bacteria; Pseudomonadati; Bacteroidota; Saprospiria; Saprospirales; Saprospiraceae. RNAcentral also lists the same sequence under 1 other name.